Mesorhizobium metallidurans STM 2683 is the source of this 66-nucleotide non-coding RNA. The record is from Rfam. Lineage: Bacteria; Pseudomonadati; Pseudomonadota; Alphaproteobacteria; Hyphomicrobiales; Phyllobacteriaceae.
CAGGCAUGCUGGAGCCCCGCCAGCGGCGCCUUGGUCCGAACUGACCUGACACCCGACGGGGCAGAA